AGUGAACGCUGGCGGUAGGCCUAACACAUGCAAGUCGAACGGCAGCACAGUAAGAGCUUGCUCUUACGGGUGGCGAGUGGCGGACGGGUGAGGAAUACAUCGGAAUCUACUUUUUCGUGGGGGAUAACGUAGGGAAACUUACGCUAAUACCGCAUACGACCUACGGGUGAAAGCAGGGGAUCUUCGGACCUUGCGCGAUUGAAUGAGCCGAUGUCGGAUUAGCUAGUUGGCGGGGUAACGGCCCACCAAUGCGACGAUCCGUAGCUGGUCUGAGAGGAUGGACCGCACCACUGGAACUGAGACACGACCCGGACACCUAGGGAAGGCCGCAGUGGGGAAUAUAGGCCAAUGGGCGCAAGCCUGAUCAAGCCAUACAGGGUGGGUGAAGAAGGCCUUCGGGUUGUAAAGCCUUUUUGUGGGGAAAAAAAAGCAGCAGGUUAAAACCCCGCUGUUCUGAGGUUACCCAAAGAAUAGGAACCGGCUAACUUGGU
Molecule: ribosomal RNA, 491 nt
Filed under: uncultured bacterium
Lineage: Bacteria
Description: partial 16S ribosomal RNA
Rfam family: Bacterial small subunit ribosomal RNA
Source: RNAcentral